Molecule: ribosomal RNA, 464 nt
Filed under: Vreelandella stevensii
Lineage: Bacteria; Pseudomonadati; Pseudomonadota; Gammaproteobacteria; Oceanospirillales; Halomonadaceae
Description: partial 16S ribosomal RNA
Rfam family: Bacterial small subunit ribosomal RNA
Source: RNAcentral
CCUACGGGUGGCAGCAGUGGGGAAUAUUGGACAAUGGGCGAAAGCCUGAUCCAGCCAUGCCGCGUGUGUGAAGAAGGCCUUCGGGUUGUAAAGCACUUUCAGUGGGGAAGAAAGCCUUGGGGCUAAUACCCUCGAGGAAGGACAUCACCCACAGAAGAAGCACCGGCUAACUCCGUGCCAGCAGCCGCGGUAAUACGGAGGGUGCGAGCGUUAAUCGGAAUUACUGGGCGUAAAGCGCGCGUAGGCGGUCUGAUAAGCCGGUUGUGAAAGCCCCGGGCUCAACCUGGGAACGGCAUCCGGAACUGUCAGGCUAGAGUGCAGGAGAGGAAGGUAGAAUUCCCGGUGGAUCGGUGAAAUGCGUAGAGAUCGGGAGGAAUACCAGUGGCGAAGGCGGCCUUCUGGACUGACACUGACGCUGAGGUGCGAAAGCGUGGGUAGCAAACAGGAUUAGAUACCCGAGUGUC